Molecule: long non-coding RNA, 1281 nt
Filed under: Macaca fascicularis (crab-eating macaque)
Lineage: Eukaryota; Metazoa; Chordata; Mammalia; Primates; Cercopithecidae
Description: lncRNA (ENSMFAG00000062589.1)
Source: RNAcentral
ACAACUGUAAAAUAAUAUUUUAGAGCUGAAAGGGACUUCAAAAUCACCUAGCCUUAGAUCUUCAUUUUCCAGAUGAGGAAACUGUGGUCCAGAGAGGGAUACCACAAUGACAAACCAGAGAGCUGCUGGGCUAAGCACACGGGUUGCUCACCUCCACACCACUCAGUCCCGUCUCCCCUUCACUUUGAAAAUCAGGACCAAAUGGGGGAAACAGAAGCUGGACUCUAACACAUCUAAGUCAUGGGCAUUUGCAGUCCCUUUUAUUUUCUUUGGUUUAUUCAGGAAGAGGGAAGCAGAGGAGCAUGACUAGUUGGCAAUGAGGAAAGUCAGGAACUUCUCAAUUCAGAUGCUUCACCCUAACAGGUCAAACACUGUAUCCAUUCGUCCUCAUCACAUAGUCCUUUGCUUUUCACAUGAGCCUAGGUAGGGAGCCCUCAAGGUGGGGCUGCUUGCCCCCUGGGGAUAAACUGGAGAACAGAGUAGAAGACAGCCAUGAGCUCCCUUGGUGGGAAAAGGCUGGCGGCAGAGCUCUCAAAUUCAGGGGCCCCAGAGAGGUGAUGUGCCCAUCUGUUCCAAGUCCCUCUAAAGCUUGAUCUCUAACCCUUCUGUCAAUGCCCUCCCCAUCUCCAACCCCCCACACAAAGAAGGGGCCAUUCAGAUUUCAUAUAAAAAACUCAACAGAAAAAAUAAACAGAAAAACAGAUCACAUAUGACAUGUCCCAACUGCUCUGAGUUCCACACAAUUAUUCUUCUUUGAGUAGAUAAAAAUAUAAUUCCAUACAUAGGAAUUGUGUGUGUGUGUGUGUGUGUGUGUACACAUACAUAUAUGACAGCUCUCUAUCUACCUACCUACCUCCUUCCUGCCAUUUCAGAACUAUUAGAGAAAGCAGCAGGGAUGGGGCUGUGUAAACGGUGCUCCUCAUUCGUGUUCAGACAGCCCACUUUCAAGCAUGAAACUUCAUUUAGGAUUCACGGAGACGUUGGGAUAGCACACUGUUCAGAGCCAAGAAAGGUAACAAAUAAAUAUCAUCUUCAUCUUCAUGCCACCUGCAGAGGCCCUUCCCCCAAUUCCAUCUUACCCCAGAUAUGUUCUGGUUUUUUGUCUAGAACAGCACAGGAUAAUCCUUGUAGAAUCCGAGCCUGGGCCUCAGUCACCCCUUAACAUAAAGAGAAGGUGACCCAUUAAAAUACUAAAUGUCCAGUGACUCCUCUGGGGGCUGUCUUAACAUGUAUUCAUUCUCUCGGUCUUUCUCCUUUUUCCUUACUCAAAUUCCUUUCCCU